RNAcentral lists this ribosomal RNA (468 nucleotides) under uncultured bacterium. Its description in RNAcentral is "partial 16S ribosomal RNA". It matches the Rfam family "Bacterial small subunit ribosomal RNA", at positions 28 to 507 of the family's 1533-position model. The record is from RNAcentral.
GACGAACGCUGGCGGCGUGCUUAACACAUGCAAGUCGAACGGAAAGGCCCUGCUUUUGUGGGGUGCUCGAUUGGCGAACGGGUGAGUAACACGUGAGUAACCUGCCCUUGACUUUGGGAUAACUUCAGGAAACUGGGGCUAAUACCGGAUAUGAGCUCCUGCUGCAUGGUGGGGGUUGGAAAGUUUCGGCGGUUGGGGAUGGACUCGCGGCUUAUCAGCUUGUUGGUGGGGUAGUGGCUUACCAAGGCUUUGACGGGUAGCCGGCCUGAGAGGGUGACCGGCCACAUUGGGACUGAGAUACGGCCCAGACUCCUACGGGAGGCAGCAGUGGGGAAUAUUGCACAAUGGGCGGAAGCCUGAUGCAGCAACGCCGCGUGCGGGAUGACGGCCUUCGGGUUGUAAACCGCUUUCGCAUGUGACGAAGCGUGAGUGACGGUAAUGGGUAAAGAAGCACCGGCUAACUACGUG